RNAcentral lists this ribosomal RNA (314 nucleotides) under uncultured Pseudomonadota bacterium. RNAcentral describes it as "bacterial SSU rRNA". It matches the Rfam family "Bacterial small subunit ribosomal RNA", at positions 28 to 351 of the family's 1533-position model. Lineage: Bacteria; Pseudomonadati; Pseudomonadota. The record is from RNAcentral.
GAUAAACGCUGGCGGUGUGCUUUAUGCAUGCAAGUCGAACGGGUUCCGCAAGGAAUCAGUGGCAGACGGGUGAGCAACACGUAAGCGACCUACCCUAAAGUGGGGAACAACUCCUAGAAAUGGGAGCUAAUACCGCAUGUGAUCUUUCUUUUAAACUUGGAAGAUUAAAGCCGUAAGGCGCUUUUGGAGGGGCUUGCGUACGAUUAGAUAGUUGGUGAGGUAACGGCCCACCAAGUCGACGAUCGUUAGCUGGUUUGAGAGGACGACCAGCCACACGGGGACUGAGACACGGCCCCGACACCUACGGGUGGCUG